Molecule: ribosomal RNA, 497 nt
Filed under: uncultured bacterium
Lineage: Bacteria
Description: partial 16S ribosomal RNA
Rfam family: Bacterial small subunit ribosomal RNA
Source: RNAcentral
GAUGAACGCUGGCGGCGUGCCUAAUGCAUGCCAGUCGAGCGAACGGACUAGAAGCUUGCUUCUCUGAUGUUAGCGGCGGACGGGUGAGUAACACGUGGAUAACCUACCUAUAAGACUGGGAUAACUUCGGGAAACCGUAGCUAAUACCGGAUAAUAUUUUGAACCGCAUGGUUCAAAAGUGAAAGACGGUCUUGCUGUCACUUAUAGAUGGAUCCGCGCUGCAUUAGCUAGUUGGUAAGGUAACGGCUUACCAAGGCAACGAUGCAUAGCCGACCUGAGAGAGUGAUAGGCCACACUAGAGCUGGGACACGGUCCAGACGCCUGCGAGAGGCAGCAGUAGGGAAUCUUCCGCAGUGGGCGAAAGCCUGGCGGAGCAACGCCGCGUGAGUGAUGAAGGUCUUCGGAUCGUAAAACUCUGUUAUUAGGGGAGAACAUAUGUGUAAGUAACUGUGCACAUCGUGACGGUACCUAAUCAGAAAGCCACGGCUAACUACGUG